Molecule: transfer RNA, 74 nt
Filed under: Staphylococcus ratti
Lineage: Bacteria; Bacillati; Bacillota; Bacilli; Caryophanales; Staphylococcaceae
Description: tRNA-Gly
Rfam family: tRNA
About the family: Transfer RNA (tRNA) molecules are approximately 80 nucleotides in length. Their secondary structure includes four short double-helical elements and three loops (D, anti-codon, and T loops).
Source: RNAcentral
GCGGGAGUAGUUCAAUUUUAGAACACUUUUCUUCCUGAAAAGAGGUAUAGGUGCAAGUCCUAUCUUCCGCUCCA